AAGUCGUAACAAGGUUUCCGUAGGUGAACCUGCGGAAGGAUCAUUAUUGAAUUGAACUGCUAUGGGUUGUUGCUGGUUCCCCUUCUGGGGCUCAUGUGCACGCUCUGGCCCUUCAUUUUCCACCUGUGCACUUUUGUAGGCAGCUCUGCGCCUCGGUUGAUCGUCUGCUCUCACGCGUCUUUGGCGUUGUGGUUGGGAACUUGGUCCUCUUGGACCUCGUUCUGGGACUUUUGGCCUUGCAGGGAGUUGUCUACGUCUUUAUAACACGUUUGUAUGUCUAGAAAGUCCAUUAUCGGUCGGAAGACCUUUAAUCUUACA
This 318-nucleotide unclassified non-coding RNA is filed under the name plant metagenome. RNAcentral's name for it is "partial contains small subunit ribosomal RNA and internal transcribed spacer 1". The stretch from base 1 to 46 matches the Rfam family "Eukaryotic small subunit ribosomal RNA", at positions 1786 to 1831 of the family's 1831-position model. The record is from RNAcentral.